This 413-nucleotide ribosomal RNA is filed under the name Microsporidia sp. clade X. RNAcentral's name for it is "SSU rRNA". It matches the Rfam family "Eukaryotic small subunit ribosomal RNA", at positions 1341 to 1791 of the family's 1831-position model. Lineage: Eukaryota; Fungi; Microsporidia. The record is from RNAcentral.
CCUUGGUCAGCUAAAUAGACUAGGGGGAGAAAAUCCCGAUUCAGUCUUCUUAGAGAGACUAUUUGUGACUAACAGAUGGAAGAAAGGCAAUAACAGGUCUGUGAUGCCCUUAGAUGUUCUGGGCCGCACGCGCGCUACACUGAUAAAGGCAGCGAGUUGGACAACCUGGGCCGGAAGGCAUGGGGAAUCUUUUGCAACUUUAUCGUGCUGGGGAUUGACCAUUGCAAUUAUUGGUCAUGAACGAGGAAUUCCUAGUAAGUGCGAGUCAUUAGCUCGCGCUGAUUACGUCCCUGUCCUUUGUACACACCGCCCGUCGAUACUACCGAUUGAAUGUAUUAGUGAGGCCUUUUGAGGGAAGAUUACGGUCUUGCUGAUAUUGGACGAACUUGUGCAUUUAGAGGAAGUAAAAGUCG